Molecule: long non-coding RNA, 1190 nt
Filed under: Zonotrichia albicollis (white-throated sparrow)
Lineage: Eukaryota; Metazoa; Chordata; Aves; Passeriformes; Passerellidae
Description: lncRNA (ENSZALG00000005896.1)
Source: RNAcentral
AUGUUUGUCUCCAGUACUUUUCUGGAAGAAACCAACAUUUUCUCGUUUAUCCGCGCAGAGGGGGCAGCGCUGAUGCCCCGUUCCGGCUGGAAUCCCGGGGCUGCCUGCCCUCCUGGCCCUGGCAGGGGCGCGGCAGUGCCAUUCGUGUCCCGCUGUCCCCGUCCUGCCCUUCCUGCAGCGCGCUGGGCGUGGGACGGGCGCCGAGAACGCCGUGGGAGCGCAGGAAGCGCCGAUCAGGGCCAGGCGAGCGGGGAUGGCCGGAGCCAGGACAUUCUGGGAAGCUCCCAAGGUUUGCAUCACACUUCUGCCACAGCUGACUUGGACCCUCUGGAGCUGGAAGCAAGGCUUGGUGCAGGCAGUGGCUCUGAAAAGCAUUCUGAGGAUUUCCAGUAACCAGGUGAUUGAAGCAGACUGAGCACCCUGACAGCAGGAAAGGCAGGUUAGUCUUCAGGAACCCCUACAAUUAUUUCACAGAACAAAUCCAAAUCCACAUUGUGAUUUGUCUGUACUGCAAAGUUCAUAUUUGGUUAUUGUAGGCACCACUCCUGGGACUUAAAAAUCAACCAGGAUUGCAUUUUAGUCUGAGUAUUAGAUGGACAUGGAAUUAAAACAGAGCAACUAUGUGCAGUUCUUUAAGUAAUUAAUGUAUAUAAAAUCUCAUUUCCAUACUGAUGCGUGGUUUGGUUUCUCUCAUCUCACUUUGAUCAGUGAAUUACCUCACAAUAAUCUCGUUUUCUUGGUUGUGAUUAGCAAUAACUCCUCCUUUGUUCUGUUCUGCAUCACUGUGUGUUCCCAGAACUUCUGAGAAAAGGAUCUUUUUCCCUGGAUUAGUCACGGUGUUUGGACAAACAUGGCCUUGUUUCCUCAAGAAAUGUAUCAGCACCACUGUGUUUAUUUCUCCACAGCCUUAACCAGCAGGAGGAUGGGGGAGCCCAGCUGAACAUUUGGAUGUAAAAAUCUGGUGAAAUCUCAGCUUUUCCAAAGCUCAGUGUGGGCAGUGUGGUGCUUUUCAUGAGUGUGGAGUGCCUGGCCAGUGUUGAUCCUGUACAAGCUCCAAGGGAAGGGUGAGAGCUGUGAGCUCAGCGUGCUUUGAUCCAUCCAGCAGCUGCCCAAGGGACUUCCAGACAUGCCAGGCCCCAGGAGCAGCUUGUGGAGAGGGCACAGAAUAAAAUUCCACAACUCUGGAGGCA